RNAcentral lists this ribosomal RNA (1082 nucleotides) under Salmonella enterica subsp. enterica serovar Enteritidis. RNAcentral's name for it is "partial 23S ribosomal RNA". It matches the Rfam family "Bacterial large subunit ribosomal RNA", at positions 140 to 1259 of the family's 2925-position model. Lineage: Bacteria; Pseudomonadati; Pseudomonadota; Gammaproteobacteria; Enterobacterales; Enterobacteriaceae. The record is from RNAcentral.
UCGUCACACUAUCAUUAACUGAAUCCAUAGGUUAAUGAGGCGAACCGGGGGAACUGAAACAUCUAAGUACCCCGAGGAAAAGAAAUCAACCGAGAUUCCCCCAGUAGCGGCGAGCGAACGGGGAGGAGCCCAGAGCCUGAAUCAGCAUGUGUGUUAGUGGAAGCGUCUGGAAAGGCGCGCGAUACAGGGUGACAGCCCCGUACACAAAAGCGCAUGUGCUGUGAGCUCGAUGAGUAGGGCGGGACACGUGGUAUCCUGUCUGAAUAUGGGGGGACCAUCCUCCAAGGCUAAAUACUCCUGACUGACCGAUAGUGAACCAGUACCGUGAGGGAAAGGCGAAAAGAACCCCGGCGAGGGGAGUGAAAAAGAACCUGAAACCGUGUACGUACAAGCAGUGGGAGCACAGGUUUACCUGUGUGACUGCGUACCUUUUGUAUAAUGGGUCAGCGACUUAUAUUCUGUAGCAAGGUUAACCGAAUAGGGGAGCCGGAGGGAAACCGAGUCUUAAUUGGGCGUUAAGUUGCAGGGUAUAGACCCGAAACCCGGUGAUCUAGCCAUGGGCAGGUUGAAGGUUGGGUAACACUAACUGGAGGACCGAACCGACUAAUGUUGAAAAAUUAGCGGAUGACCUGUGGCUGGGGGUGAAAGGCCAAUCAAACCGGGAGAUAGCUGGUUCUCCCCGAAAGCUAUUUAGGUAGCGCCUCGUGAAUUCAUCUCCGGGGGUAGAGCACUGUUUCGGCUAGGGGGCCAUCCCGGCUUACCAACCCGAUGCAAACUGCGAAUACCGGAGAAUGUUAUCACGGGAGACACACGGCGGGUGCUAACGUCCGUCGUGAAGAGGGAAACAACCCAGACCGCCAGCUAAGGUCCCAAAGUCAUGGUUAAGUGGGAAACGAUGUGGGAAGGCCCAGACAGCCAGGAUGUUGGCUUAGAAGCAGCCAUCAUUUAAAGAAAGCGUAAUAGCUCACUGGUCGAGUCGGCCUGCGCGGAAGAUGUAACGGGGCUAAACCAUGCACCGAAGCUGCGGCAGCGACACUGUGUGUUGUUGGGUAGGGGAGCGUUCUGUAAGCCUGUGAAGGUGU